AUUGAACGCUGGCGGCAGGCCUAACACAUGCAAGUCGAACGGUAACAGGAAGAAGCUUGCUUCUUUGCUGACGAGUGGCGGACGGGUGAGUAAUGUCUGGGAAACUGCCUGAUGGAGGGGGAUAACUACUGGAAACGGUAGCUAAUACCGCAUAACGUCGCAAGACCAAAGAGGGGGACCUUCGGGCCUCUUGCCAUCGGAUGUGCCCAGAUGGGAUUAGCUAGUAGGUGGGGUAACGGCUCACCUAGGCGACGAUCCCUAGCUGGUCUGAGAGGAUGACCAGCCACACUGGAACUGAGACACGGUCCAGACUCCUACGGGAGGCAGCAGUGGGGAAUAUUGCACAAUGGGCGCAAGCCUGAUGCAGCCAUGCCGCGUGUAUGAAGAAGGCCUUCGGGUUGUAAAGUACUUUCAGCGGGGAGGAAGGGAGUAAAGUUAAUACCUUUGCUCAUUGACGUUACCCGCAGAAGAAGCACCGGCUAACUCCGUGCCAGCAGCCGCGGUAAUACGGAGGGUGCAAGCGUUAAUCGGAAUUACUGGGCGUAAAGCGCACGCAGGCGGUUUGUUAAGUCAGAUGUGAAAUCCCCGGGCUCAACCUGGGAACUGCAUCUGAUACUGGCAAGCUUGAGUCUCGUAGAGGGGGGUAGAAUUCCAGGUGUAGCGGUGAAAUGCGUAGAGAUCUGGAGGAAUACCGGUGGCGAAGGCGGCCCCCUGGACGAAGAC
This 723-nucleotide ribosomal RNA is filed under the name Pseudomonas sp. Its description in RNAcentral is "bacterial SSU rRNA". It matches the Rfam family "Bacterial small subunit ribosomal RNA", at positions 28 to 740 of the family's 1533-position model. The record is from RNAcentral. RNAcentral also lists the same sequence under 1 other name. Lineage: Bacteria; Pseudomonadati; Pseudomonadota; Gammaproteobacteria; Pseudomonadales; Pseudomonadaceae.